RNAcentral lists this ribosomal RNA (206 nucleotides) under uncultured Oligella sp. RNAcentral describes it as "partial 16S ribosomal RNA". It matches the Rfam family "Bacterial small subunit ribosomal RNA", at positions 568 to 774 of the family's 1533-position model. The record is from RNAcentral. Lineage: Bacteria; Pseudomonadati; Pseudomonadota; Betaproteobacteria; Burkholderiales; Alcaligenaceae.
UGCGCAGGCGGCUUGGAAAGAACGGUGUGAAAUCCCGGGGCUCAACCCCGGAACUGCACUAUUAACUAUCAAGCUAGAGUAUGUCAGAGGGGGUGGAAUUCCGCGUGUAGCAGUGAAAUGCGUAGAUAUGCGGAGGAACACCAAUGGCGAAGGCAGCCCCCUGGGAUAAUACUGACGCUCAGGCACGAAAGCGUGGGUAGCAAACA